RNAcentral lists this small nuclear RNA (136 nucleotides) under Fundulus heteroclitus (mummichog). RNAcentral's name for it is "U1 spliceosomal RNA (ENSFHEG00000016157.1)". The record is from RNAcentral. Lineage: Eukaryota; Metazoa; Chordata; Actinopteri; Cyprinodontiformes; Fundulidae.
AUACUUACCUGGCAGGGGAGAUACCAUGAUCAAGAAGGUGGUUCACCCACGAUCAACGUACUUGGCAGGGGAAUACUAUGAGUGAGAAGGAUGGCCUCCAAUCUGGCCACAACUGGUUCCAGGAGGAAUGCAGUAA